ACUUGAAGUUGGCGUUGGUACAGAUGGUGUGUGUCUGUGUGUGUAUACAGCAGGUACUUGAAGUUGGUACAGAUGAUGUGUGUCUGUGUGUGUAUACAGCAGGUACUUGAUGUUGGUACAGAUGGUGUGUGUCUGUGUGUGUAUACAGCAGGUACUUGAAGUUGGCGUUGGUACAGAUGAUGUGUGUCUGUGUGUGUAUACAGCAGGUACUUGACGUUGGUACAGAUGGUGUGUGUCUGUGUGUAU
Long non-coding RNA from Salvelinus fontinalis (brook trout), 246 nucleotides. RefSeq lists it as uncharacterized. The record is from RefSeq and is a predicted model, not a curated record. The transcript has 4 exons. Lineage: Eukaryota; Metazoa; Chordata; Actinopteri; Salmoniformes; Salmonidae.